CGGGGGAGCAAGCGUUGUUCGGAUUUACUGGGCGUAAAGGGCGCGUAGGCGGCCUCUGCAAGUCGACUGUGAAAUCUCCGGGCUUAACCCGGAACGGUCAGCCGAUACUGCAGGGCUAGAGUGCAGAAGGGGCAACUGGAAUUCUCGGUGUAGCGGUGAAAUGCGUAGAUAUCGAGAGGAACACCUGCGGCGAAGGCGGGUUGCUGGGCUGACACUGACGCUGAGGCGCGAAAGCUAGGGGAGCGAACGGGAUUAGAUACCCCGGUAGUCCUAGCCUUAAACGAUGAAUGCUUGGUGUCUGGGGUUUUAUAGUCCCCGGGUGCCGUCGCUAACGCCUUAAGCAUUCCGCCUGGGGAGUACGGUCGCAAGACUG
RNAcentral lists this ribosomal RNA (373 nucleotides) under uncultured organism. RNAcentral's name for it is "bacterial SSU rRNA". It matches the Rfam family "Bacterial small subunit ribosomal RNA", at positions 527 to 896 of the family's 1533-position model. The record is from RNAcentral.